UCCGAAUUGGUGUAGUGGCUAACAUUUGACGCUCUCAUCUCAUCUUCUCACAUAUCGUGGGGAGGCAAGUCAGGUCCGUCAAGCCCGGGGUUCGAUUCCCCGAUUCGGAG
Non-coding RNA from Xylariaceae sp. FL0594, 110 nucleotides. The record is from the annotation of a GenBank genome assembly. NCBI's taxonomy places the organism in Eukaryota, Fungi, Ascomycota, Sordariomycetes, Xylariales, Xylariaceae.